Molecule: ribosomal RNA, 1287 nt
Filed under: marine metagenome
Description: bacterial LSU rRNA
Rfam family: Bacterial large subunit ribosomal RNA
Source: RNAcentral
GCGGUUUUGCAUGGAUAAUAAUCGGGCAUAAACAUAUUACCGAAGCUAUGGAUUUGUAUUAUAUACAAGUGGUAGGGGAGCAUUGUAACCUGCGUAGAAGGUGUGCUGUAAGGCAUGCUGGAGUGGUUACAAAAGAAAAUGUAGGCAUAAGUAACGAUAAAGGGGGCGAGAAACCCCCUCACCGAAAGACUAAGGUUUCCUCAGCGAUGCUAAUCAGCUGAGGGUUAGUCGGGUCCUAAGGCGAAUCCGAAGGGAGUAGUCGAUGGAUAACAGGUUAAUAUUCCUGUACUUCUUAUAAUUGCGAUGGGGUGACGGAGUAUUGAAAGCACCGCGAACUGACGGAAUAGUUCGUUAAAGUACGUAGCUAUAGAACCAGAUUAAGAGUUAGGUUUUGGCAAAGUACGAUAGUACCACAAAGCUUCGGCAGCGUGGAUAGUGUGCCUAAAAGCUUCCAAGAAAAACCUCUAAGCUUCAGAUUAUAAGAACCCGUACCGUAAACCGACACAGGUAGUUGGGAUGAGAAUUCUAAGGUGCUCGAGAGAUUCAUGGCUAAGGAACUAGGCAAAAUAGACCCGUAACUUCGGGAGAAGGGUCGCCCAUCUUCGGAUGGGCCGCAGUGAAAAGGUCCAGGCGACUGUUUAUCAAAAACACAGGGCUUUGCUAAAUUGAAAGAUGAUGUAUAAGGCCUGACACCUGCCCGGUGCUGGAAGGUUAAGUGGAGGGUUUAGCUUCGGCGAAGAUCUGAAAUGAAGCCCCAGUAAACGGCGGCCGUAACUAUAACGGUCCUAAGGUAGCGAAAUUCCUUGUCGGGUAAGUUCCGACCUGCACGAAUGGUGCAACGAUCUGGACACUGUCUCAGCCAUGAGCUCGGUGAAAUUGUAGUAUCGGUGAAGAUGCCGAUUACCCGCAGCGGGACGAAAAGACCCCGUGAACCUUUACUAUAGCUUAGUAUUGGCUUUGGAUAAGUAAUGUGUAGGAUAGGUGGGAGACUUUGAAGCGGCGUCGCCAGGCGUUGUGGAGUCAUUGUUGAAAUACCACCCUUUGCUUAUCUAGGGCCUAAUCCCCAACGGGAGACAGUGCGUGGUGGGUAGUUUGACUGGGGUGGUCGCCUCCAAAAGAGUAACGGAGGCUUCUAAAGGUUCCCUCAGCACGCUUGGUAACCGUGCGUAGAGUGCAAUGGCAUAAGGGAGCUUGACUGAGAGACAUACAGGUCGAUCAGGUACGAAAGUAGAGCAUAGUGAUCCGGUGGUUCCGUAUGGAAGGGCCAUCGCUCAAAGGAUAAAAGGU